AGGGUGCUUUUAGAACCGAGCUGUUCAGGGUCCCAGAUCCUCUAAUGUAAUGCCAGCUGAACCCAGACAGUGACUUCCACCUCCAUGAAUGCAGGUGAUUGCAUCCUUUGAAAGCCUGUUUGCAUAGCAGACAAUGAAGCUGAGCAGAGAAAAACAAGAUGAGAGACAGAUGGAGUAGGAGACCUGAGAAGAUGGCUUGAGUCCAUGAAUUCUGGUGUUCCCUAGGCCACAUUUGCCCCCAUCCUUCCCAGGUGAGAGAACCUUUGUGGGAGCGCAGAAGUCCAGCAGAGAGACCCUAGCACUUUAUUUGGACCAAAAAAUAAAUAAUAAAUAAAUAAAUAAAUAAAUCCAAAACUAGAUGCAUUAAAGAAGGUAAGAACAGUUUUACUUUACCUGUGUCACCCCUCCCCCAGUGUGGCACAGAUCAGUGCCAAGAGAGACCGCUUCAGCCCAGUUUCUUCCACAGGGGAAAAUGAGAACAGUGAGUGCCUAAUUUCCUCAGCUGUAGGAUGCUGUAGAAGAGACCCACUUCUGCCUCACCCAUUUGAGAACCCUGAGGGAAUCAGUAUGGCUGAAUAAUCUGGGGGUAGCUAGGAGCAGGGAAAAGGGGCAGCACUCACAGCAACCUGAGUAUGGAAUUCAGCAAAGAGCCACAGUUUCUAUUAACUACCUCCCAAAUUCCAUCAAGAGGGCCAGCCACAAACUACAUAGGAUGCAUAAUCUGCAGAUCCCCUGACUAGCCCAUGUGUGCUUCCAACCUUCUGCAUGCCCUUCCCCCAUGUAGCUGGCACCCUGAAUGCACCCCCAUGGAUAGCAUGUACAAGCUUCUGCAGAUUGUGCAUGAGAACAUGAAGAUAACUAACUUGAUUCAGGAUUGGAAGGAAGUGACUAAUCUUGAAUUUUUCAAGGCACUUCCUAGGGAAGAUAAACAGGAGGCUUACAUUGCACCUGGCCUGACUUUUGCAAGAUCAAGAGAAGGAAUAUGCUGUAAUUUGAAUGAAAAUUUAACAUUUAAAAUUUAUGUUGAAGCUGAAUACUCAAUGCAAUAGUACUAAGAAGUCUAACCUUUGGGAGGUGAUUAAGUCAUGAUGACUCUUCUCACUUGAAUGGGAUGAGCACUCAUAAAAGAUGUCAAGGUUUAUGGGAGUUCUCUUUUGCCCUUCCAUCCCUUCUGCCAGGUUAGACUUCUCCUAUGGAGAAUGCAGCAAGAAAAUACCAUCUUGAAGCAGAGAGCAGCGCUCAUCAGGCAUCAGUCCUUCUGGAGCCUUGAUCUUGGACCUCCCAGCUCCAAAAUAAUAAGUAAUAAAUUGUUAUUGCUUAUAAAUUA
RNAcentral lists this long non-coding RNA (1327 nucleotides) under Homo sapiens (human). RNAcentral's name for it is "HSALNT0301722". Lineage: Eukaryota; Metazoa; Chordata; Mammalia; Primates; Hominidae. The record is from RNAcentral.